ACUCCUACGGGAGGCAGCAGUGGGGGAAUAUUGCACAAUGGGCGCAAGCCUGAUGCAGCCAUGCCGCGUGUAUGAAGAAGGCCUUCGGGUUGUAAAGUACUUUCAGCAGUGAGGAAGGUGGGUAUGUUAAUAGCAUACUCAUUUGACGUUAGCUGCAGAAGAAGCACCGGCUAACUCCGUGCCAGCAGCCGCGGUAAUACGGAGGGUGCGAGCGUUAAUCGGAAUUACUGGGCGUAAAGCGCAUGCAGGUGGUUUGUUAAGUCAGAUGUGAAAGCCCGGGGCUCAACCUCGGAAUUGCAUUUGAAACUGGCAAACUAGAGUACUGUAGAGGGGGGUAGAAUUUCAGGUGUAGCGGUGAAAUGCGUAGAGAUCUGAAGGAAUACCGGUGGCGAAGGCGGCCCCCCUGGACAGAUACUGACACUCAGAUGCGAAAGCGUGGGGAGCAAACAGGAUUAGAUACCCUGGUAGCCUCUGC
This 475-nucleotide ribosomal RNA is filed under the name uncultured bacterium. Its description in RNAcentral is "bacterial SSU rRNA". It matches the Rfam family "Bacterial small subunit ribosomal RNA", at positions 335 to 800 of the family's 1533-position model. The record is from RNAcentral.